RNAcentral lists this ribosomal RNA (458 nucleotides) under uncultured bacterium. RNAcentral's name for it is "bacterial SSU rRNA". It matches the Rfam family "Bacterial small subunit ribosomal RNA", at positions 923 to 1379 of the family's 1533-position model. The record is from RNAcentral.
GCACAAGCGGUGGAGCAUGUGGUUCAAUUCGACGCAACGCGCAGAACCUUACCAGCCCUUGACAUGUGACUCGCCGGUACGAGAGAUCGUACCUUCGGUUCGGCCGGAGUCAACACAGGUGCUGCAUGGCUGUCGUCAGCUCGUGUCGUGAGAUGUUGGGUUAAGUCCCGCAACGAGCGCAACCCUCGCCCUUAGUUGCCAUCAUUCAGUUGGGCACUCUAAGGGGACUGCCGGUGAUAAGCCGCGAGGAAGGUGGGGAUGACGUCAAGUCCUCAUGGCCCUUACGGGCUGGGCUACACACGUGCUACAAUGGCGGUGACAAUGGGAUGCUAAGGGGUGACCCUUCGCAAAUCUCAAAAAGCCGUCUCAGUUCGGAUUGGGCUCUGCAACUCGAGUGCAUGAAGUUGGAAUCGCUAGUAAUCGCGGAUCAGCACGCCGCGGUGAAUACGUUCCCGGGC